RNAcentral lists this ribosomal RNA (797 nucleotides) under uncultured Nitrospiraceae bacterium. Its description in RNAcentral is "bacterial SSU rRNA". It matches the Rfam family "Bacterial small subunit ribosomal RNA", at positions 74 to 866 of the family's 1533-position model. The record is from RNAcentral. Lineage: Bacteria; Pseudomonadati; Nitrospirota; Nitrospiria; Nitrospirales; Nitrospiraceae.
ACGUAGCAAUACGUUUGUAAAGCGGCGAACGGGUGAGGAAUACAUGGGUAACCUACCCUCGAGUGGGGAAUAACUAGCCGAAAGGUUAGCUAAUACCGCGUACGCUCCUUGGACUUCGGUUCAGGGAGGAAAGCGAUACCGUGGGUAUCGCGCUCUUGGAUGGGCUCAUGUCCUAUCAGCUUGUUGGUGAGGUAACGGCUCACCAAGGCUUCGACGGGUAGCUGGUCUGAGAGGACGAUCAGCCACACUGGCACUGCGACACGGGCCAGACUCCUACGGGAGGCAGCAGUAAGGAAUAUUGCGCAAUGGGCGAAAGCCUGACGCAGCGACGCCGCGUGGGGGAUGAAGGUCUUCGGAUUGUAAACCCCUUUCGGGAGGGAAGAUGGAAUGGGGUAACCCAUUCGGACGGUACCUCCAGAAGCAGCCACGGCUAACUUCGUGCCAGCAGCCGCGGUAAUACGAAGGUGGCAAGCGUUAUUCGGAUUUACUGGGCGUACAGGGAGCGUAGGCGGUUCGGUAAGCCCUUUGUGAAAUCUUCAGGCUUAACCUGGAAAAGUCGGAGGGGACUGCCGGGCUAGAGGACGGGAGAGGAGCGCGGAAUUCCCGGUGUAGCGGUGAAAUGCGUAGAGAUCGGGAGGAAGGCCGGUGGCGAAGGCGGCGCUCUGGAACGUUUCUGACGCUGAGGCUCGAAAGCGUGGGGAGCAAACAGGAUUAGAUACCCUGGUAGUCCACGCCUUAAACUAUGAAUACUAAGUGUCGGCGGGUUACCGCCGGUGCCGCAGCUAACGCAUUAAGUA